GUAACAAGGUUUCCGUAGGUGAACCUGCGGAAGGAUCAUUACAGAGUUCAUGCCCGAAAGGGUAGACCUCCCACCCUUGUGUAUUAUUACUUUGUUGCUUUGGCGAGCUGCCUUCGGGCCUUGUAUGCUCGCCAGAGAAUACCAAAACUCUUUUUAUUAAUGUCGUCUGAGUACUAUAUAAUAGUUAAAACUUUCAACAACGGAUCUCUUGGUUCUGGCAUCGAUGAAGAACGCAGCGAAAUGCGAUAAGUAAUGUGAAUUGCAGAAUUCAGUGAAUCAUCGAAUCUUUGAACGCACAUUGCGCCCCUUGGUAUUCCGGGGGGCAUGCCUGUUCGAGCGUCAUUUCAACCCUCAAGCUUAGCUUGGUAUUGAGUCUAUGUCAGUAAUGGCAGGCUCUAAAAUCAGUGGCGGCGCCGCUGGGUCCUGAACGUAGUAAUAUCUCUCGUUACAGGUUCUCGGUGUGCUUCUGCCAAAACCCAAAUUUUUCUAUGGUUGACCUCGGAUCAGGUAGGGAUACCCGCUGAACUUAAGCAUAUCA
RNAcentral lists this ribosomal RNA (538 nucleotides) under Botrytis cinerea. RNAcentral's name for it is "eukaryotic LSU rRNA". The stretch from base 189 to 342 matches the Rfam family "5.8S ribosomal RNA". Lineage: Eukaryota; Fungi; Ascomycota; Leotiomycetes; Helotiales; Sclerotiniaceae. The record is from RNAcentral.